GUCAGCAUGGCAUAGUGUUUUGAGUGUUGGACUACAACUCCAGAGACCAGGGUUCGAUUCUGUGCUUGGCCA
Molecule: non-coding RNA, 72 nt
Organism: Phrynosoma platyrhinos (Desert horned lizard)
Lineage: Eukaryota; Metazoa; Chordata; Lepidosauria; Squamata; Phrynosomatidae
Source: the annotation of a GenBank genome assembly